GCCGGCGUGGCGGAAUGGCAGACGCAGCAGACUCAAAAUCUGCCAAGGGCAACCUUGUGUGAGUUCAAGUCUCACCGCCGGCA
RNAcentral lists this transfer RNA (83 nucleotides) under Treponema sp. RNAcentral describes it as "tRNA-Leu". It matches the Rfam family "tRNA". Rfam says of the family: Transfer RNA (tRNA) molecules are approximately 80 nucleotides in length. Their secondary structure includes four short double-helical elements and three loops (D, anti-codon, and T loops). The record is from RNAcentral. Lineage: Bacteria; Pseudomonadati; Spirochaetota; Spirochaetia; Treponematales; Treponemataceae.